Molecule: transfer RNA, 77 nt
Filed under: Porticoccaceae bacterium
Lineage: Bacteria; Pseudomonadati; Pseudomonadota; Gammaproteobacteria; Cellvibrionales; Porticoccaceae
Description: tRNA-Met
Rfam family: tRNA
About the family: Transfer RNA (tRNA) molecules are approximately 80 nucleotides in length. Their secondary structure includes four short double-helical elements and three loops (D, anti-codon, and T loops). Further hydrogen bonds mediate the characteristic L-shaped molecular structure. tRNAs have two regions of fundamental functional importance: the anti-codon, which is responsible for specific mRNA codon recognition, and the 3' end, to which the tRNAs corresponding amino acid is attached (by aminoacyl-tRNA synthetases). tRNAs cope with the degeneracy of the genetic code in two manners: having more than one tRNA (with a specific anti-codon) for a particular amino acid; and 'wobble' base-pairing, i.e. permitting non-standard base-pairing at the 3rd anti-codon position.
Source: RNAcentral
GACGCCAUAGCUCAGUUGAUUAGAGCAAUCGACUCAUAAUCGAUUGGUCGUAGGUACAAGUCCUACUGGACCCACCA